Molecule: ribosomal RNA, 205 nt
Filed under: Clostridioides difficile
Lineage: Bacteria; Bacillati; Bacillota; Clostridia; Peptostreptococcales; Peptostreptococcaceae
Description: partial 16S ribosomal RNA
Rfam family: Bacterial small subunit ribosomal RNA
Source: RNAcentral
CACGCUGUAAACGAUGAGUACUAGGUGUCGGGGGUUACCCCCUUCGGUGCCGCAGCUAACGCAUUAAGUACUCCGCCGGGGAAGUACGCUCGCAAGAGUGAAACUCAAAGGAAUUGACGGGGACCCGAACAAGUAGCGGAGCAUGUGGUUUAAUUCGAAGCAACGCGAAGAACCUUACCUAAGCUUGACAUCCCAAUGACAUCUC